AGGAUGAACGCUGGCGGCGUGCCUAACACAUGCAAGUCGAACGUCCUGUCUCGCAAGAGGCAGGGAGUGGCGGACGGGUGAGUACCACGUGGGUCAUCUACCGUGAGGUGAGGAAUACCGGCGAGAAAUCGCCGACAAGACCGCAUAGGCUCGAUGCAAGUCGAGCAAAGCUCUUUCGAGAGAGGGAGCGCCACACGAGGAGCCUGCGCCCGAUUAGCUAGCUGGUGGAGUAACGGUUCACCAGGGCGACGAUCGGUAGCUGGUCUGAGAGGACGAUCAGCCACACUGGGAUUGAGAACGGCCCAGACUCCUACGGGGGGCAGCAGUGAGGAAUUUUCCGCAAUGGACGAAAGUCUGACGGAGCAACGCCGCGUGCAGGAGGAAGGUUUUCGGAUCGUAAACUGCUUUUCUCGGGGACGAGCAAGGACGGUACCCGAGGAGAAGCCCCGGCUAACUACGUGCCAGCAGCCGC
This 472-nucleotide ribosomal RNA is filed under the name uncultured bacterium. RNAcentral describes it as "SSU rRNA". It matches the Rfam family "Bacterial small subunit ribosomal RNA", at positions 26 to 518 of the family's 1533-position model. The record is from RNAcentral.